This 634-nucleotide ribosomal RNA is filed under the name uncultured bacterium. Its description in RNAcentral is "bacterial SSU rRNA". It matches the Rfam family "Bacterial small subunit ribosomal RNA", at positions 74 to 705 of the family's 1533-position model. The record is from RNAcentral.
UGAUCACUGGCUCAGAAUAGCUUUCCUACUGGGUUAGCGGCGGACGGGUGAGUAUCACGUGAGUAACCUGCCCUUGACUCUGGGAUAAUCCCGGGAAACUGGGUCUAAUACCGGAUAUUACCAUUCCCCGCAUGAUGUGCGGAAGGAAAGAUUUUUUCGCUCUUGGAUGGACCCACGGCCUAUUAGCUAGACGGUGAGGUAAAGGCUCACCCACACCGAUGACGGGAUGCCUACCUGACAUGGUGACCGGCCCCACUGGGAUGGAACCACGGCCCAGACUCCACUCGGAGGGGAGGUUGGGGAAUAUUGUCUUUGGGCUGGACCAUGAUGCGACGACGCCACGUGCCGGAUGAGGGCCUUGUUUUUGUAAACCACUUUCCUGUUGGAAGAAUCUUUCGUGACCAUACCUGCCUAAUAGCACCCUGCCAAUACCUUGCCAGCAACCCCCGUAAUACUUAGGGCCCGCGCCUUAUCUAGAAUUAAUGGGGUUACCGAGCUCCUGAGCUGCUUGUCGUAUCUGCCGUGAAAGCCCGUGUCUUAAUCCCAGGUGUGCACUGCCUACUGGCAAGCUAAAGUGCAUUAGGGGAUACUGGAAUUCCUUGUGUAACAGUAAAAUGCACUUAUAUCUGUAGCA